UAAUGGUAAUGAGAAGAGAGAUAUGCUGUAACAUACCUCUCUAGUGUAGAGCCGUUACUAACGGUGACAAAAUUUUAAAGAUU
Molecule: small RNA, 83 nt
Filed under: Enterococcus faecalis
Lineage: Bacteria; Bacillati; Bacillota; Bacilli; Lactobacillales; Enterococcaceae
Description: RNA anti-toxin A
Rfam family: RNA anti-toxin A
Source: RNAcentral